UAAGCCUGCGAAGGUGGCCUGUGAGGGUUGCUGGAGGUAUCAGAAGUGCGAAUGCUGACAUAAGUAACGAUAAAGCGGGUGAAAAGCCCGCUCGCCGGAAGACCAAGGGUUCCUGUCCAACGUUAAUCGGGGCAGGGUGAGUCGACCCCUAAGGCGAGGCCGAAAGGCGUAGUCGAUGGGAAACGGGUUAAUAUUCCCGUACUUGGUGUUACUGCGAAGGGGGGACGGAGAAGGCUAUGUUGGCCGGGCGACGGUUGUCCCGGUUUAAGCGUGUAGGCUGGUUUUCCAGGCAAAUCCGGAAAAUCAAGGCUGAGGCGUGA
Molecule: ribosomal RNA, 320 nt
Filed under: Salmonella enterica subsp. enterica
Lineage: Bacteria; Pseudomonadati; Pseudomonadota; Gammaproteobacteria; Enterobacterales; Enterobacteriaceae
Description: partial 23S ribosomal RNA
Rfam family: Bacterial large subunit ribosomal RNA
Source: RNAcentral